RNAcentral lists this ribosomal RNA (3261 nucleotides) under Triticum aestivum (bread wheat). Its description in RNAcentral is "partial small subunit ribosomal RNA". The record is from RNAcentral. Lineage: Eukaryota; Viridiplantae; Streptophyta; Magnoliopsida; Poales; Poaceae.
AUGGCGGACCUUGCGGUUGGUCUGGCCAAGACGGUGGUGGAGGCAGCACUGACCAAAGCCAAGGCGGCAAUCGAGGAGGCGGCGAAGCUCCGGGGGAGCGCGCGGCGGAACAUGGUGUUCAUCACACUGGAGUUCGAGAUGAUCCACUCUUUCCUUGACGAUGCCACUGAAGAGCGCGUUAAGAGCAAUUUGGUGAAGACCUGGGUGAGGCAGGUCCGCGAGCUGGCCUACGACCUGGAGGACUGCAUGGAGUUUGUGGUUCACCUCGACAACAAAUCCACCUGGUACAUCCGGUUGCUCCCAUCCUGGAUUGCGCCGCUUCCACCUCUUGAUGAGGCGGCUGCGGAGAUAGAGGAGCUGAGGACCAGGACCGAGGAGUUGAGCAAGUGUUACUUGCGCUACAGCCACAUCACGGACUCUGACCCCAAGCUGUUCAAGCUGCAACAACAUGCAACCUCCGGUGAUGCUGCCGGCACAGUAGCAGUCAUGUGGGAGACGGUGGACGGCGACCUUGGUACCACAUCCAUCAUCCGGAAGGUAUACAAUGACCCGUCGUUCGUCACAUACUUCGCCUGCCGCGCAUGGGUGAAGAUCGUUCAUCCUUUCAAUCCCCGCCACUUCAUCCGGAGCUUGAUGGCUCAGUUCUACGCAAACUCCUGCAAAGAAUCAACCAUUGUAGGGACGCAUGUCCUAACAAAGAUGGAGGUCAACCAUAAACACCUCGUCAAGGAGUUCGAACGCCUAAUCACGGAGAACAGGUACCUCAUCGUCUUAGAAGGCUUUUCAAACAUGCUAGAGUGGGACGAUAUCAGGACGUUUCUUCCUGACAUGAAGAAUGGAAGCUGGAUCGUCGUCUCCACGCAGCGCUUCGAGAUAGCAAGCCUGUGCGUCGGAAAUUCUUACCAGCUAACGGAACUGAAGAAGUUCACCGCUGAGCACUCUGUUUGUGCCCUCUUCAAGGAGAUGAAGUAUUUCGUGACGGGCAAAGAGUUUGUGUCCGUGUGGGGCAUUGUUGGUGUUGGAAAAUCGGCUCUAGUUCGAAACUUGUACGACGACUACAAGGCGUCAAAAACAUUUACCAAAUAUAGUUGGGUGGACGUAUCACAUCCCUUUGAUUUAAGUGACUUCUGUAGGAGCAUACUUUUGGAUUGUCACCCAGAGAUGGACCCCAUUGAAGAGUGCCGCAAGCUUCUUGACAAUAAUGAGUGCCUACUUGUCAUCGAUGAUAUCCAGUGUAUGCAAGAAUGGGACAUGAUAGAGACAACCUUGUUAUCCAUUGAUUCUCCGGUUCACAGUGUCAUCGUCGUUAUUACAACAGAAGCAAGCAUCGCAUAUCAUGCAUCUAGCAUGUUGUAUGAGUUUCAUGUGAGAGCUCUGGAAGCUGAUGCCGCCAUUGAUCUCUUCCAAACAGAGGUACACCAGAAGAAUCCGUCAUCAGCUGUAGCGAAUUACAUGGAUUCCCACCAUGUGCAGAUACAAGAGCUUGUUUUGAAGUGUGGAGGCCUUCCCAAAGUAAUUGUUGCUAUAGCAGACGUAUUGGCCAGACAACCGUUCGAACUGAUGCAGUAUAAUGUAUACUCGUUGUAUUGGACCUUUAUGAACAGCCUGGAGACAAAGCCAGAGUAUGAUAAUUUACAGGGACUAUUUGGUUGGCUACAUUCCUACUUCCGUACUUGUCCAGAUUCACUCAAGCCAUGUAUCUUCUACCUGGCAAUUUUUCCUCGGCGGAGGCGACUAGUAAGGCGGUGGAUUGCAGAGGGUUACACGAGGGACAGCAGUCAAGAGUCUGCAGAACAUAAUGGGGAGGUGCUCUUCUCCGAUCUUCAUGAAAGGAGCAUAAUCCAUCAGCCACCACAAAAAAUAGCCACUGCCACACUGGAUGGCCCAAGAAUGGCCAUCUGCCAAGUCAAUGGUUUCAUACAUGAGUACAUCGUCGCACGGCGAAUGGACGAGAACCUGUUUGAACUGGAAGGAAAUAGUGCCCUGACCACUCAGCGCACAGGGCGUCACCUUGUCAUAUUUGGAAAUUGGAACAGAGAUAGAAUUGUGUUCAAGAGCAUUGACUUCUCACGGCUACGGUCACUGACAGUAUUUGGGAAAUGGGAACCAUUCUUUAUCUCAAAAGGUAUGAAGAUUCUCCGCGUGCUUGAUCUAGAGGAUGCACGGGGUAUGAAGGAUGCUGAUCUCGAGAAGAUGGUGAACCUAUUGCCUCGCCUCAAAUUUCUCUCGCUACGAGGAUGCCGUGAGAUCUGCCAUCUACCCAGUUCAUUGGGUGAUCUGAGGCAGCUCCAGACUCUGGACGUCAGGGGCACCUCUAUAGUCACCCUUCCGGAAAACAUCACCUUGUUACAGAAGCUGCAGUAUAUUCGUGCUGGAAGUGGAAGUGGCACCAAGGAAAAAACAUCCAGUAUGUUGAACUUGACAGCAUCAGCUCCACCAAUUUCAUCCUGUUGGUUACCCGAGUUGUGCAAGCGUCGUCAAUUAGUUGGUGUUGUGGUACCUGGAGGGAUCGGGAAGCUGACCGCAUUGCAUACACUCGGUGUUGUCAAUGUCGCUGCUUCAGGGGGGAAAGCUAUACUCGAAGAGCUAAAGAAGCUGACCCAGUUGCGGAAGCUGGGUGUAUCUGGCAUCAACAAGAAGAACAGCAAUGAGUUCUUCUCUGCAAUCAAGGAGCAUGUCCAUCUGGAAUCAUUAUCAGUGCAGCUCAACAAGGACACCAGUCAAGUUUGCUUGGAUGGCACCCCCCUGCCGUUGGAGAACCUGCAAAGCCUUAAAUUGUAUGGACUUGUUAAUGUCCAGUUGCAAGGUAGGAGAGACGGGCUAAGAAAGCUGCAUUUAGAGAUGGCUACAAUAAUGGAAGAUGACAUAAAGUUCCUUGGCAAGCUACCACUGCUAUGUGUUCUUCGUGUGAAGCAGAUUCAAGAUGGCGAGCUCCAUUUUCACGUCGUUGUGGAUGGACAAGAGGAAGACUCAUUGGGGAGCGUCAAGGUCCUCCAGAUUGCUUGCGGUUGCAGCUCCAGCAGCUUACAUGUUACUUUUGGAUCUAAAUCAAUGAAGGAGCUUGAGCUGCUCAAGGUUGACUGCCACGGUGGGUCGCCACCAUAUCAGUUCUCUGGCCUGGAGAAUCUAGUACAACUAAAGCAAAUCUUGCUAGUUAAAUGUUCCAACGCUGAAGCACUGAAGGGGCAACUUGAGAGCCAGCUUGCCGAGCAUCCCAACAAGCCUGUUGUGAAGCUGGAGGAACCACCACAAUCGUCCUGA